Molecule: long non-coding RNA, 583 nt
Organism: Humulus lupulus (European hop)
Lineage: Eukaryota; Viridiplantae; Streptophyta; Magnoliopsida; Rosales; Cannabaceae
Exons: 3
Source: RefSeq, a predicted model, not a curated record
GUAUUCUCGAGACAUUCUGACUAUGGUGCAUAGAAGUAGAGCUGACUGUCCACAACCUGAGGUUUAAAGUUGUUGAACCCUUGUGCAAUCUUAUUUUCGCCACAUGUUGACUUUGGAUUAAAAGUACUUGGUGCAAAUGCUAUGUCCAUUCCUGGCCUAUAUGGGUUUGUCCAGGUAUAAUGAGAUUGAUUCUAGAUGUGCUCAAACCUUGUCCGAGCUUGAAUGCACUUCAUGUAGAGUUUGGCCAAACUCCAAACUAAGCACACCAUAAAGAGUGGACCUCAUUGAAAUCCUUGUGAAGGUGAUCAUACUUUUCCUUUAAAUAGUGCAAGUUUAGUUUGAAACGUGAGUUCAGAUUUAUUUUCAUUAGUUUGCAUGGUUAUGUUUUAUAGUUAAAAUGUUAUAUUUUGAUCCAUAAUAUGCUUUUAUACAUUCAGAGCGUUAGGAGCUCUUUUCUCACACUUAUUCAAUUUUUUUUUUGUAAUUCUGUAUUUUUAAUUUUUUUUGUAUGUCAACUCUUGCUAGUAAUACCUUCUUUUUCUUUAGCUCUUCUCUAGCUGUAGAUUCUAAAGUGAUGAAUUGC